GUUGGGAAUAUUGGACAAUGGGCGCAAGCCUGAUCCAGCAAUCCCGCGUGAGUGAUGAAGGCCUUCGGGUUGUAAAGCUCUUUUGGCAGGGACAAAGGGAAACUUGAUGGUACCUGCAGAAAAAGCACCGGCUAACUCCGUGCCAGCAGCCGCGGUAAUACGGAGGGUGCAAGCGUUGUUCGGAAUUAUUGGGCGUAAAGCGCGUGUAGGCGGUUGCCUAAGUCUGGUGUGAAAUCCCGGGGCUCAACUCCGGAACUGCACUGGAUACUGGGUGACUCGAGGGCGAGAGAGGAUGGUGGAAUUCCUGGUGUAGGGGUGAAAUCCGUAGAUAUCAGGAGGAACAUCGGUGGCGAAGGCGACCAUCUGGCUCGUUUCUGACGCUGAGACGCGAAAGCGUGGGGAGCAAACAGGAUUAGAUACCCCAGUAGUCC
RNAcentral lists this ribosomal RNA (431 nucleotides) under uncultured bacterium. RNAcentral describes it as "bacterial SSU rRNA". It matches the Rfam family "Bacterial small subunit ribosomal RNA", at positions 354 to 796 of the family's 1533-position model. The record is from RNAcentral.